GAUGAACGCUGGCGGCGUGCCUAAUACAUGCAAGUCGAGCGAACAGACGAGGAGCUUGCUCCUCUGACGUUAGCGGCGGACGGGUGAGUAACACGUGGAUAACCUACCUAUAAGACUGGGAUAACUUCGGGAAACCGGAGCUAAUACCGGAUAAUAUAUUGAACCGCAUGGUUCAAUAGUGAAAGACGGUUUUGCUGUCACUUAUAGAUGGAUCCGCGCCGCAUUAGCUAGUUGGUAAGGUAACGGCUUACCAAGGCAACGAUGCGUAGCCGACCUGAGAGGGUGAUCGGCCACACUGGAACUGAGACACGGUCCAGACUCCUAUGGGAGGCAGCAGUAGGGAAUCUUCCGCAAUGGGCGAAAGCCUGACGGAGCAACGCCGCGUGAGUGAUGAAGGUCUUCGGAUCGUAAAACUCUGUUAUUAGGGAAGAACAAAUGUGUAAGUAACUAUGCACGUCUUGACGGUACCUAAUCAGAAAGCCGCGGCUAACUACGUG
This 497-nucleotide ribosomal RNA is filed under the name uncultured bacterium. RNAcentral describes it as "partial 16S ribosomal RNA". It matches the Rfam family "Bacterial small subunit ribosomal RNA", at positions 28 to 507 of the family's 1533-position model. The record is from RNAcentral.